This 240-nucleotide long non-coding RNA is filed under the name Vigna radiata. RNAcentral's name for it is "long non-coding RNA (VRAD_LNC013487)". Lineage: Eukaryota; Viridiplantae; Streptophyta; Magnoliopsida; Fabales; Fabaceae. The record is from RNAcentral.
CUGGAAAGUGUACCAGAUCGUUAUCAAGUAAUAUAAAAUGGGUAAGUCCAAGUAUCGUUUCCCAAAGGACUCUUAGGCCUUAACUUUCAUGUAAACCAAUCGCAUAAGACUUGAGAAAAGAAUUAAAUUUUAGGUUUUGUAUGCAAGACAAAAGUAAACAUGCAAGAUGCAGUGAAUCAAUUGGCUAAAAGAAACUAUGAAUGAAUGGAGUUCUUGGGGUUUACAAUUUCAUCUUAUCCA